GACGAACGCUGGCGGCGUGCUUAACACAUGCAAGUCGAACGGAAAGGCCUCUUUCGGGGGGUACUCGAGUGGCGAACGGGUGAGUAACACCUGAGUAACCUGCCCUUGACUUUGGGAUAACUUCAGGAAACUGGGGCUAAUACCGGAUAGGAGCUCCUGCUGCAUGGUGGGGGUUGGAAAGUUUCGGCGGUUGGGGAUGGACUCGCGGCUUAUCAGCUUGUUGGUGGGGUAGUGGCUUACCAAGGCUUUGACGGGUAGCCGGCCUGAGAGGGUGACCGGCCACAUUGGGACUGAGAUACGGCCCAGACUCCUACGGGAGGCAGCAGUGGGGAAUAUUGCACAAUGGGUGGAAGCCUGAUGCAGCAACGCCGUGUGCGGGAUGACGGCCUUCGGGUUGUAAACCGCUUUCGCUCAUGACGAAGCUUUGUGUGACGGUAGUGGGUAAAGAAGCACCGGCUAACUACGUG
Molecule: ribosomal RNA, 467 nt
Filed under: uncultured bacterium
Lineage: Bacteria
Description: partial 16S ribosomal RNA
Rfam family: Bacterial small subunit ribosomal RNA
Source: RNAcentral